AUAACAUUUUAUUAUUUUUGCAUGGGAUAUUGAUGUCACCCUUUAAUUGUCCUUGAAAAAGCGGUGGUAAGACACUUUGUUGAACUGUUGCAGUCCAUUUAGUUUUGAUUUUUCUGUCAUAAUUUGAUACAAAUGAGUGGCUUUCUGGGCCAUUUUGCAGGUCUAUAAAGAGUCAUGUACUUUGCUGUGGGUCUGGAGUGACAUGCAAGUGAGGUAAGAUAAAACGGUACAUUUCCCUCCCUGAAGGAUAUUGGUAAACCAAAUGUGUCAUUAUGACCAUCAACAACUUUUCAAAUCCAGAUUUUAUUCAUAGAAUUUAAAUUCCAUCAGCUAGCAUUGUGGAAUUAACCCAUUCCCCGCAAAACAUGAAGCCUAGCCUUUGAAUUAUUGAUUCAUCAGCAUUAAUGGAACUCCACUGCCUUCCACAUGAUUCCCAGAGCUGGUGAAGGCAGGAUUCCACCACCCCACCCACCCCCCGACUGCUCAGCUAACAAAUAGGGUAACCACCUCAAUGUUAAAUCCCAGUCCAUAAACUGGCUUCACUUCUCAGUCUGCAAGGCUGUUUAUGUAUUUGACAUUUCCAACAUCGGAACAAGUGAAAGCAGAAUGAAAGCUGUCUGUAAAUAGGACAGAGCAAGUUACUGCAAGCUGGGUUCAUAGCCAGAGACAAAUUGUUUUGUUUAUCUAUGAAUGUAAAUGAUGGAUAGGUAUGGCUUGCUAUUAUCAGCCUGUUGGAACACGAUAGCUGUGAUUGAAAACCCCACAAAAGCAUAGAUUCUGCUUAAACAACCUGGUACAGUAUCUCAUGUCAUGAACACAGUUAUGCAAUCGCUGUGACGCACGAAAAUAAGAGUUGCUGGUAAUAUUGGCUAAAAAUAUUUGGAAUUGAGAAAAUCAACUAAGAGGUCAGGGAAUCCUUGCUGUUUGUUAAGCUAUAGUACAAUAGAUCUUUUUAUCAUAUCAUCACAUUUAUCAUUCCAUAGGCAGCUCACGGCCGUUGGAGGUAUAUGGCCCACACAUUGCCAAAUUCCUCUCCCUUUGUUCAAGACGAAAGGUGCCACAUUGAAAAAAACUCAAAAAUAAAUGAGGGUAUUGCAAAUUCAAUGAAGGUAAGCUAAGAUUCCGUAUCAACCCCUGGUGCCAAGAAUUCAAUCAAGGCCACCAUCCCUUGGACUAGAUAAGAGGCUCUUAUUCCUCAUCUUGGAAUCACUUUAACUAGGACAAUAAUUUCUGUCAGGAGUCUUUCCUUGGCCUGCUGCUGUUUACAAUGCCAUGCCAAUGCCAUGAAACCAUCCCACACAUCCCUCAACCUUACCCUCUAUUCCAUCCCAUGCCACUAUCCAUCACCAGAAGGCAUCGAGGUAUGGGAUUUUGCAUCUGGAUUGGGAAGGUGAGGUUUGGAGAUGUUGGUUUAAGUGCUUGAUAUCUUUGGAAUUACUCACAGGUUCAUUUAGGUCCUUGGUGUAUCCCAGAAGUAAUUGAGGGAAUACUUGAUACCACUAAUUAAUGACUCAGAGGCUUGGUCACAUGGAUUCAGUCCAGCUAGUCAUAUUGAGCAAUGAACAAGGACAUGGUUAAAGCAAAAUUAAUAAAUGCCAAUAGUGAUUGAUUAUAUGAUUCUGGUUCACAAUAAGAGAAAAUGGCUACAGAAAAACUAAUGUCACUGAUGUGAUCUGAGAUGACAUUCAUUAACAGAAACUGGGCCGUGUAUUAGGUGAGCAAUAAAGUCAUCAAUUUAUUGAUCAACUUUCAAUUAAACAGUGUAGAAUUGCUUACAAAAAAAACAUAGAUGUGAUCAGAACAAUUCAAUAAGUGCCAAACGGGAAGAACUCUCCUUAGCAGUUAUUUAACGAGUCUCAAUGCAUUAUUUUUCCCUAAAUGAUGGGUGGUAGUAAUUGGCUAACUCUCGGUCACACACUCACACUGCACUGGGCCAGUUGAUAGUGGGACAGUGUGCACAGCUGAUGUGGAGAAGCAAAUCAUCUGAAGUCUCACCUCCUGUGGGGAUAGAAUAGAGGGGUCCAAUCCUAAAUAAGCAUCUGAAGAAGACAACCGAAGAGCAGCAUA
Chiloscyllium plagiosum (whitespotted bambooshark) is the source of this 2067-nucleotide non-coding RNA. The record is from RefSeq and is a predicted model, not a curated record. Lineage: Eukaryota; Metazoa; Chordata; Chondrichthyes; Orectolobiformes; Hemiscylliidae.